CCAGCUGCCUGGCACCACGGCGCCCCUGAUUACUGAAUCGGGGGGUGACAUGUCAUCUUGAAACGCUACGCCGUGGGUUAGCAUGUUUUUCAGGCCAGCAGCUUCAGUAAAAAUCCCAGCUGGAUCAUGACUUUACUCGGUGAUGGAGAGCAGACGAGAGAGGGCUGCAAAAGAAGCAAUCCGAGGCAAGGGCAUCUGCAAGGCCAAUAAAUAAUGGGGUGUGUAAGGAGCCGGGAUGAUGGCUAGCUGUAUUUACUCUGCACUCCUCUUGACAGCUCUGUGAAUGUGGUGUUUUUCUUCUUCUUUUUAAACUCUCUCGCCUGCAGAGGGACAAUUAAAGGAGCCCAUGCUCGCUUCUAGACUCGGAGAAUGAUUAUGGAAUACUGAUGAGAGGUGAUGCCCGGCCAAUCCUAACAGAGUUUCACUGCCGAGUCCUGCAUUGAUUUGUUUCUCGCUUUUUUUUUCUCCCUUUCUUCCAACUGGUUGAAAAAAGGCUCCACCAGCUGACAGACUGAUAGAAAAAAUGAUAAAUUUGCUUCAGUCUGAUGAGGUGGUGGAGUUAGAAAAACACACCGAUAAAGUGCCGGGCUGAGGAUGUUUUUUGCUUGGGAAAUAGAAUAUGAGGGGCAUUAAGAGGCGCAGCUUUUUAUACUGCAGUGAAAAAUGAGCCCACAGUGAGUCAAAAUGUGACCAGAACAGGUUCAUAGAGUCAAACCACUUAGCCUUGGAGACCCUUGGAACCAUUGGAUCCAGGAUCACAUGUCCAGCUAGGAGAAGACCCUACAACAUGUUGGAGGGAUUACAUGUCGCUUGGGAAUGGUUCGGGAUCCAAAGAAAGAAAUGGAGGAUGUAGCAUCAGAGACCAGUGUCUUGGCUGCAAUGCUGAAGCUGGACUUAUGGUUGUGUUCCAACUGCAUGUUGGAUGGUACGAUAGUGUCGGAAGUAGUGUUGGAUUUGAUCUGACAUUCGCACCCACAUGCUGUUGACCAGCUGUGUGGAGGUGAAAGAGGAGCCAGGCAAUUUAUUAUUUCUGGUUGGUUUUUUUUCUCCACACAUUUGUUCCUCUGAGAAAUCCUCAGCAGUUUUUAAAUGUACAUCCCAGCGCAACAUUAUGAGAAUGAUUAGCAUCAGAUAAGCUGAAUGCGCUCAAAGUAAAAGUACUCAUCAUGCAGAAAGGUCCAGAAUAAUAUACAUUUUAUUAUUGGGUGACAUCUAGAAAUUACGGGCUACAUAACAGAUUAAUUAUUGAUUCUAUCUUGUAUUAUUAAUCUGGACAUGCAAUAUUAAUAAUCAAAUAAAUAUAGUGAAGUAAAAACUACAAUAUUUGCCUUUGAAUGUUAGUAGAAGUAUAAAGGAGCAGAAAAUGGAAACACUCAAAUCCCCUAUAUGCGUAAAUGCGCUUAGUUUCUUUGCACCACUGCCCUUUGAUGUAUUUUGCAUGAUUUGACUUAAAAAUUAUGAAUUGAACUGCACUCUUGAAUUAUAUGUUCUGUAGACA
Molecule: long non-coding RNA, 1498 nt
Organism: Acanthochromis polyacanthus (spiny chromis)
Lineage: Eukaryota; Metazoa; Chordata; Actinopteri; Pomacentridae
Exons: 2
Source: RefSeq, a predicted model, not a curated record